AUUGAACGCUGGCGGCAGGCCUAACACAUGCAAGUCGAGCGGAUGAAGGGAGCUUGCUCCUGGAUUCAGCGGCGGACGGGUGAGUAAUGCCUAGGAGUCUGCCUGGUAGUGGGGGACAACGUCCGGAAACGGGCGCUAAUACCGCAUACGUCCUGAGGGAGAAAGUGGGGGAUCUUCGGACCUCACGCUAUCAGAUGAGCCUAGGUCGGAUUAGCUAGUUGGUGGGGUAAAGGCCUACCAAGGCGACGAUCCGUAACUGGUCUGAGAGGAUGAUCAGUCACACUGGAACUGAGACACGGUCCAGACUCCUACGGGAGGCAGCAGUGGGGAAUAUUGGACAAUGGGCGAAAGCCUGAUCCAGCCAUGCCGCGUGUGUGAAGAAGGUCUUCGGAUUGUAAAGCACUUUAAGUUGGGAGGAAGGGCAGUAAGUUAAUACCUUGCUGUUUUGACGUUACCAACAGAAUAAGCACCGGCUAACUUCGUG
This 484-nucleotide ribosomal RNA is filed under the name uncultured bacterium. RNAcentral describes it as "partial 16S ribosomal RNA". It matches the Rfam family "Bacterial small subunit ribosomal RNA", at positions 30 to 507 of the family's 1533-position model. The record is from RNAcentral.